GAUGAACGCUAGCGAUAGGCUUAACACAUGCAAGUCGAGGGGCAGCACAAGGUAGCUUGCUAUCUGGGUGGCGACCGGCGCACGGGUGCGUAACGCGUAUGCAACUUGCCCUAUACAGGAGGAUAACCCGUCGAAAGACGGACUAAUACUGCGUAUGCUCACAACUUGGCAUCAAGUGGUGAGGAAAGAAAUUCGGUAUAGGAUAGGCAUGCGUCCCAUUAGCUUGUUGGUGAGGUAACGGCUCACCAAGGCAACGAUGGGUAGGGGAACUGAGAGGUUUAUCCCCCACACUGGUACUGAGACACGGACCAGACACCUACGGGAGGCAGCAGUGAGGAAUAUUGGCCAAUGGGCGCGAGCCUGAACCAGCCAAGUCGCGUGAAGGAUGACUGUCUUAUGGAUUGUAAACUUCUUUUAUACGGGAAUAACAAGAGUCACGUGUGACUCCCUGCAUGUACCGUAUGAAUAAGCAUCGGCUAACUCCGUG
Molecule: ribosomal RNA, 487 nt
Filed under: uncultured bacterium
Lineage: Bacteria
Description: partial 16S ribosomal RNA
Rfam family: Bacterial small subunit ribosomal RNA
Source: RNAcentral